CAACUUUCGACAAUUUUUUCUUGGUUCUCCCAUCGAUGAAGAACGCAGCGAAAUGCGAUAAGUAAUGUGAAUUGCAGAAUUCAGGAAUCAUCGAAUCUUUGAACGCACCUUGCGCUCCUUGGUAUUCCGAGGAGCAUGCCUGUUUGAGUGUCAU
Molecule: ribosomal RNA, 154 nt
Filed under: Robbauera albescens
Lineage: Eukaryota; Fungi; Basidiomycota; Exobasidiomycetes; Robbauerales; Robbaueraceae
Description: 5.8S ribosomal RNA
Rfam family: 5.8S ribosomal RNA
About the family: 5.8S ribosomal RNA (5.8S rRNA) is a component of the large subunit of the eukaryotic ribosome. It is transcribed by RNA polymerase I as part of the 45S precursor that also contains 18S and 28S rRNA. Functionally, it is thought that 5.8S rRNA may be involved in ribosome translocation.
Source: RNAcentral